AUGGCGGUCCGAAACCCAUACUUUUCACUUUCGAACGGGUGAGUGUACUAUCACUUUGGAAGACGUCUAUAUGUUACUCGGCUUACCUUUUGGAGGUUCAAUUGUUACGGCUCCUCCAA
Non-coding RNA from Medicago truncatula (barrel medic), 119 nucleotides. The record is from Rfam. Lineage: Eukaryota; Viridiplantae; Streptophyta; Magnoliopsida; Fabales; Fabaceae.